Molecule: transfer RNA, 59 nt
Filed under: Ornithodoros hermsi
Lineage: Eukaryota; Metazoa; Arthropoda; Arachnida; Ixodida; Argasidae
Description: tRNA-His
Source: RNAcentral
ACUUAAUUAGUUUAUUUAAAAUAUUAAAUUGUGGUUUUAAAGAGGUUUAUCAUUAAGUA